RNAcentral lists this long non-coding RNA (265 nucleotides) under Anas platyrhynchos platyrhynchos (common mallard). RNAcentral describes it as "lncRNA (ENSAPLG00000023609.1)". The record is from RNAcentral. Lineage: Eukaryota; Metazoa; Chordata; Aves; Anseriformes; Anatidae.
AUUUAUAUCCUGAAGCCCUAUUCUGAAAAUAUGAGCCUGACCUGUUUGUUUGUAAAAUGGAGGUAUAGAUCUUCUCCUUGGACCUUGGCAUUUCUUGGGCUCCAGUCACAGCUCACUGAGACUGAGAAAGGAGUUCCAAAAUGUUGAAAUUUGGCUUUCCUGGACACUUUCCUAAUCAAGGUAUUUCAAAGAGCUUUUCAGUAAUAAGCUAGAUGCUGGUGCUACAGAGUCUGAAUAAACACACACAAAGACUUUUAAUUGAGCA